UGCAAGUCGAGCGGAGUGUUCCCUUCGGGGUUCACUUAGCGGCGGACGGGUGAGUAACACGUAGGCAACCUGCCCCAAGACCGGGAUAACUGGCGGAAACGCCUGCUAAUACCGGAUAAUCGAUUCGCUCGCCUGAGCGAAUCGUGAAAGAUGCUUCGGCAUCGCUUAUGGAUGGGCCUGCGGCGCAUUAGCUAGUUGGCGGGGUAACGGCCCACCAAGGCGACGAUGCGUAGCCGACCUGAGAGGGUGAUCGGCCACACUGGGACUGAGACACGGCCCAGACUCCUACGGGAGGCAGCAGUAGGGAAUCUUCGGCAAUGGACGAAAGUCUGACCGAGCAACGCCGCGUGAGUGAGGAAGGUCUUCGGAUCGUAAAGCUCUGUUGCCAGGGAAGAACAGCCUGGGGAGGGAAUGCCCUAGGCUUGACGGUACCUGAGAAGAAAGCCCCGGCUAACUACGUGCCAGCAGCCGCGGUAAUACGUAGGGGGCAAGCGUUGUCCGGAAUUAUUGGGCGUAAAGCGCGCGCAGGCGGUUUCUUAAGUCUUGUGUUUAAUCCCGGGGCUCAACCUCGGUUCGCAUGGGAAACUGGGAAACUGGAGUGCAGGAGAGGAAAGUGGAAUUCCACGUGUAGCGGUGAAAUGCGUAGAGA
This 649-nucleotide ribosomal RNA is filed under the name uncultured earthworm intestine bacterium. Its description in RNAcentral is "bacterial SSU rRNA". It matches the Rfam family "Bacterial small subunit ribosomal RNA", at positions 56 to 696 of the family's 1533-position model. The record is from RNAcentral.